ACUAAUAAGCAGUUCUUUCUCUUGGGAGAUGUAAACAUCGACACGUUGGCCGACGACUCUUCUGCGCGCGACUUGAUGAAUCUCUUAUCCUCUUAUGGCUCUCUGCUGUACUGCUGUAGACUGCUCCUUUUGUUACGGGGGCAGAGACCUCGUCAGGCAAUCAUGCCUUCAGUCUCUGCCACCCGCAGGAUGAUGUGAUUUUCCUGCAAAUAAAAACUGACUGACUGACUGAC
Molecule: long non-coding RNA, 233 nt
Filed under: Dermacentor andersoni
Lineage: Eukaryota; Metazoa; Arthropoda; Arachnida; Ixodida; Ixodidae
Description: uncharacterized LOC126523955
Source: RNAcentral